Molecule: small RNA, 142 nt
Filed under: uncultured Bacteroides sp.
Lineage: Bacteria; Pseudomonadati; Bacteroidota; Bacteroidia; Bacteroidales; Bacteroidaceae
Description: GibS sRNA
Rfam family: GibS sRNA
About the family: A small RNA with a conserved region in the 5' region in gene clusters, related to carbon metabolism in Bacteroidetes.
Source: RNAcentral
GUGUUUUUCAUAGUAUUAGAUAUAAGAUUAAUUAAAGGAGACGUACCCGCUUGUGACAAGUAAGUACAUCAAAAACAGAAGCGUCUGUUUGAUUGAUAAAUGUGUAAGGAGCAUCGGUUUACCAGAGCCGAUGCUUUUUUUA